RNAcentral lists this ribosomal RNA (1456 nucleotides) under hydrothermal vent metagenome. RNAcentral describes it as "bacterial SSU rRNA". It matches the Rfam family "Bacterial small subunit ribosomal RNA". The record is from RNAcentral.
AGAGUUUGAUCCUGGCUCAGGAUGAACGCUAGCGGCAGGCUUAACACAUGCAAGUCGAGGGGUAACAGGGAAAAGCUUGCUUUUCCGCUGACGACCGGCGCACGGGUGCGUAACACGUAUGCAACCUACCUCUUACUGAAGGAUAGCCCAGAGAAAUUUGGAUUAAUACUUCAUAACACCACAAGAUCGCAUGAUCUAAUGGUUAAAGGUUACGGUAAGAGAUGGGCAUGCGGCCUAUUAGUUUGUUGGUGAGGUAAUGGCUCACCAAGACUACGAUAGGUAGGGGGUCUGAGAGGAUUAUCCCCCACACUGGUACUGAGACACGGACCAGACUCCUACGGGAGGCAGCAGUGAGGAAUAUUGCGCAAUGGACGAAAGUCUGACGCAGCCAUGCCGCGUGAAGGAUGACGGCGCUACGCGUUGUAAACUUCUUUUAUAUACCAAGAAACCUUCGGACGUGUCCGAAGCUGACGGUAGUAUAUGAAUAAGCACCGGCUAACUCCGUGCCAGCAGCCGCGGUAAUACGGAGGGUGCAAGCGUUAUCCGGAUUUAUUGGGUUUAAAGGGUCCGUAGGCGGAUCAUUAAGUCAGUGGUGAAAGCCGACAGCUCAACUGUCGAACUGCCAUUGAUACUGGUGAUCUUGAGUACGGUUGAAGUAGGCGGAAUAUGACAUGUAGCGGUGAAAUGCUUAGAUAUGUCAUAGAACACCGAUUGCGAAGGCAGCCUACUAAGCCGUUACUGACGCUGAGGGACGAAAGUGUGGGGAGCGAACAGGAUUAGAUACCCUGGUAGUCCACACCGUAAACGAUGAUUACUCGGUAUUGGCUUUAUUGUCAGUGCCCAAAAACUCAAAGGAAUUGACGGGGGCCCGCACAAGCGGUGGAGCAUGUGGUUUAAUUCGAUGAUACGCGAGGAACCUUACCAGGGCUUAAAUGUAGAACGACCGGGGUGGAAACACCCCCUUUUUCGAACGGUCUACAAGGUGCUGCAUGGUUGUCGUCAGCUCGUGCUGUGAAGUGUCGGGUUAAGUCCCAUAACGAGCGCAACCCCUAUUUCUAGUUGCCAGCGGUUCGGCCGGGGACUCUAGAGAAACUGCCAGCGUAAGCUGUGAGGAAGGUGGGGACGACGUCAAAUCAUCACGGCCCUUACGUCCUGGGCCACACACGUGCUACAAUGGUGGGGACAACGAGUUGCCAACCCGCGAGGGUGAGCUAAUCUCUCAAACCCCAUCUCAGUUCGGAUCGGAGUCUGCAACUCGACUCCGUGAAGUUGGAAUCGCUAGUAAUCGCGCAUCAGCCAUGGCGCGGUGAAUACGUUCCCGGGCCUUGUACACACCGCCCGUCAAGCCAUGGAAUCUGGGGGCGCCUGAAGUCAGUAACCGCAAGGAGCUGCCUAGGGCGAAUCUGGUAACUAGGGCUAAGUCGUAACAAGGUAGCCGUACCGGAAGGUGCGGCUG